This 507-nucleotide ribosomal RNA is filed under the name uncultured bacterium. Its description in RNAcentral is "bacterial SSU rRNA". It matches the Rfam family "Bacterial small subunit ribosomal RNA", at positions 30 to 526 of the family's 1533-position model. The record is from RNAcentral.
AUUGAACGCUGGCGGCAGGCUUAACACAUGCAAGUCGAGCGGAAACGAUCCUAGCUUGCUAGGAGGCGUCGAGCGGCGGACGGGUGAGUAAUGCAUGGGAAUCUGCCCGAUAGUGGGGGACAACCUGGGGAAACUCAGGCUAAUACCGCAUACGUCCUACGGGAGAAAGCAGGGGAUCUUCGGACCUUGCGCUAUCGGAUGAGCCCAUGUCGGAUUAGCUUGUUGGUGAGGUAAUGGCUCACCAAGGCGACGAUCCGUAGCUGGUCUGAGAGGAUGAUCAGCCACACUGGGACUGAGACACGGCCCAGACUCCUACGGGAGGCAGCAGUGGGGAAUAUUGGACAAUGGGCGAAAGCCUGAUCCAGCCAUGCCGCGUGUGUGAAGAAGGCCUUCGGGUUGUAAAGCACUUUCAGCGAGGAAGAACGCCUUGGGAUUAAUACUCUCGAGGAAAGACAUCACUCGCAGAAGAAGCACCGGCUAACUCCGUGCCAGCCGCCGCCGUAAUAC